CUCAGUUUGCAGUUGAGAUCGUCGAUCAGCAGGAGAUUGAGUUGAUAGAUCUCUCCGAUAUUUCUAGAGGUAGCCUCAUCGAAUCAGGACUUCUAUCUCAUCCUUAAGCUGGAUGCAUUGUUCGAUAUCAUGCUCAUGAUCAUGACGGAACCGACAAUACUUCCUCCGAUCGCGGUUCCUCGACAAUGCUUUCAUCAGUGGGGGGUGUCAUAGAUAUUCCACUCC
RNAcentral lists this long non-coding RNA (225 nucleotides) under Elaeis guineensis (African oil palm). RNAcentral describes it as "long non-coding RNA (EGUI_LNC005319)". Lineage: Eukaryota; Viridiplantae; Streptophyta; Magnoliopsida; Arecales; Arecaceae. The record is from RNAcentral.